Molecule: ribosomal RNA, 291 nt
Filed under: uncultured bacterium
Lineage: Bacteria
Description: partial 16S ribosomal RNA
Rfam family: Bacterial small subunit ribosomal RNA
Source: RNAcentral
GUGUCAGCAGCCGCGGUAAUACGUAGGGGGCAAGCGUUGUCCGGAAUUAUUGGGCGUAAAGCGCGCGCAGGCGGUCAAUUAAGUUGGGUGUUUAAGCCCGGGGCUCAACCCCGGUUCGCAUCCAAAACUGGUUGACUUGAGUGUAGGAGAGGAAAGUGGAAUUCCACGUGUAGCGGUGAAAUGCGUAGAGAUGUGGAGGAACACCAGUGGCGAAGGCGACUUUCUGGCCUAUAACUGACGCUGAGGCGCGAAAGCGUGGGGAGCAAACAGGAUUAGAUACCCGCGUAGUCC